RNAcentral lists this transfer RNA (75 nucleotides) under Rhodanobacteraceae bacterium. RNAcentral describes it as "tRNA-Val". It matches the Rfam family "tRNA". From Rfam's summary of the family: Transfer RNA (tRNA) molecules are approximately 80 nucleotides in length. Their secondary structure includes four short double-helical elements and three loops (D, anti-codon, and T loops). The record is from RNAcentral. Lineage: Bacteria; Pseudomonadati; Pseudomonadota; Gammaproteobacteria; Lysobacterales; Rhodanobacteraceae.
GGGCAGUUAGCUCAGCGGUAGAGCACUUCCUUGACAUGGAAGGGGUCACAGGUUCGAUCCCUGUACUGCCCACCA